CUACUACUCCCUCCGUCCGGAAAUACUUGUCAUCAAAAUGAAUUAAAGGGGAUAUAUCUAGAUGUAUAUUAAUUCUAGAUACAUCCAUUUUGAUACAAGUAUUUUUGGAUGGAGGGAGUAUUAA
This is a non-coding RNA of Triticum aestivum (bread wheat), 124 nucleotides long. Lineage: Eukaryota; Viridiplantae; Streptophyta; Magnoliopsida; Poales; Poaceae. The record is from Rfam.